Molecule: ribosomal RNA, 301 nt
Filed under: uncultured bacterium
Lineage: Bacteria
Description: partial 16S ribosomal RNA
Rfam family: Bacterial small subunit ribosomal RNA
Source: RNAcentral
CAGCAGCCGCGGUAAAACGGAGGGGGCUAGCGUUGUUCGGAAUUACCGGGCGUAAAGCGCACGUAGGCGGCUUGGUAAGUUAAAGGUGAAAGCCCGGAGCUCAACUCCGGAAUUGCCUUUAAGACUGCCGAGCUAGUAGGUGAGAGAGGUAAGUGGAAUUCCGAGUGUAGAGGUGAAAUUCGUAGAUAUUCGGAAGAACACCAGUGGCGAAGGCGGCUUACUGGCUCAUUCUAGACGCUGAGGUGCGAAAGCGUGGGGAGCAAACAGGAUUAGAUACCCCUGUAGUCCCUGUCUCUUAUAA